Molecule: long non-coding RNA, 1332 nt
Filed under: Anas platyrhynchos platyrhynchos (common mallard)
Lineage: Eukaryota; Metazoa; Chordata; Aves; Anseriformes; Anatidae
Description: lncRNA (ENSAPLG00000018902.1)
Source: RNAcentral
GUAACAAAAUGUUUUAAAACGCUUAUUUUCUAGGCAUCCUUAGUCUGGAAAUUCUAUAUGUGGUUGUUUGUCUUCUUCUUAACCUAGAGCAGCAUCUUCCUUGUUCUUUUCAAUUUUAAGUUGAAGCAGUACAAUAUAUUGAUCUUUUCUGUGGGCAGAAUUCUUAAUUUCAAUGCCCCUUUAGGGAAUUAAAUAUGGAUUUGAAAGAGAUGUCCAGCUGCUCAUACCAUUUGGCAGAAGCUGUCUAAAUUGUGCAAGUGGGGGAUAAAUGCAGACAUUUUGAGCUGUUCUAACCUCUCCUUGACUCGACAUCUCCAUCCAUUAUGAAUCCCUUGGGCCAGAUCCUCACUGAGGUAAAUUGGCAUAGUUUCCUUAGGCUUAUUCCUCCUGUGCUGACUUACACCAGCUGAGCCUGACAUUAUUUCCUCAUUAAGUGGAUGAAGUAACCAAAGCAUGUCUGCAGGCCUCAGAAUUGAAAUGCAUUUCUCUGUGAACUGUUCUCCAUUUGAACAAGAGGGGACCGGCUGUGCCAAAUGAAGCAGAGGAAAGAUGAGCCAUUCUGCUUGAUCCUGGCCCAAUGCCCACAUGGUCCUGCUACCCAUUUUUUCCUGCUAAUACCCUGUCUCCUUCAUGGCCAGAUCUAGAUCUUUCACAGGACAGGAGAAUUUUGACACCAAUGCUUUUUUAUGAAGACUGCACAGAGAGGAGAGGAGCCUUUAUGUAACUGAGCAUAAAUGUGUGCAUUUGUGUGCAUCCAUUUGUGCCUGGAACACAUACAUAUACUGUCAAAUAGAGCAGACAGUGUAACUACAAACAUUCAGUGAGACUUGACUGUUUGUUUGUUUGUUUGUUUGUUUGUUUGUUUAGGGGCAGGUGUAGCUGUGAUACCAAAAGAAUGACUGUCUCAUGUGAUCUCCCAAACACUUGUCUGUGUAUCAAGUCACACCCUACUUUGGUGAUACAAUAGCAGGCACUGGCAAAUUCGAAAAGAACAGGACACAGUGCAGCACACCAAAACCUCUGCAUGGCACUGCAGUUGCUCUCUGAUUUAGGGGAAGCUACAGAGAAACUCUAGCACUGUACAAAAUAAUCAGUUUAAGAUACGAAAACAAACCACUGGAGACUUAUUGAGUCUUAAAUGUCUUUAUCUUGAAGUCUUUAUCUUAAAUGUCUCAGAAUCCUAGGAGCUUUUAAAAACACUCAUAAUAAUUCAAAUUGUUGCUAGUGUUAGCUUUACUGUUAUAUAUUGUUUUACUUUAUCAAGGCAGAAAUGUGCUCAUCAUUCAUGCAGUGUUAUAAAAUGCAGUUGUAGGGAAAAAAAUAAUCCUAAAC